CUGCUAAGUGUUGACCCGUUGACAUCUGACCUGCUGACCUCUGACCUGCGCAUACUCAAAACAGUCCGCCAGUCGGCUUUCAUUGUUAGUUUGUAUUUGCUGUUCGCCUUAGCAGCAAGCAGCUAUGUUGAGAGCAGUUAUAAGUUGGAUAGACAGAUAGCACCAUGCUUGCGACAUAUAUUUCAAAUGGGGCAGACAGAACGAAAGAAAACUGACGUUUGAAAACGAUUAAAAAGAAAAAAAAAAGGAGUUAAAAACAAUAUUCAUAUAUUUAUACAUACAUCCAUACACACAUCCACACACACACACAUUUUAUAUAUAUAUAUAUAUAAUAUAUAUAGAUAAAUAAAUACAGCAUUUUUUUUGGAUUUAUCAUUUUCUCUGAAUAUAUAUACAUAUAUUUAUAUGUAUAAUCCAUAAGUUAAUUCGAAUAUUGGAGCAUACGAUCUCAAAAUCUAAGCCUGAUUUCAAAUCAAGCACAUUUUCACCCAAAACGACCAAGAUAUAAACGAAAAAAAAAAAAUUAAGAAAAGGGAAAAACCAACAAACGAAGAGAAGAGACAAGUAUAAGAAGUAGUCAAAAUGAAUAGUUCUGUGAACGGUUUCAGUACGGAAGAUGACAGCCGGAGCGGGCAUGAUCAGAUCUGCAGCCUUAUAGAUGAUGGUGAGCGCUGCAGGCGUCCAGCAGGUAAUGCGAGUUAUAGCAAACGGAUACAGAAGACAGUGCAACAGAAAAAAUUAAAACUGACGAGGGAUGAUUGUGUUUCUCAUAUCUACAUUUGCGACUAUCAUAAAAAUGUCAUUCACAAUGUUCGCUCAAAGCGGAAGAGGAAAGAUAGCGAAGACGAUCGUGGAUCACUAGAGGGAGACGAAGAGAUACCAGAGAUUGACUUUUUCCAAAUGCCUGUAAACACACUCCGUCGAUACAGACGACAUUAUAAGUUACCUACACGGCCCGGAACUAAUAAGGCCCAGUUAGCUGAGAGUGUGGCUCGGCACUUUAAAACAAUUCCCGUGGCAGAGAAAGAAACUUUGACAUUCUUCAUUUACAUGACAAAGAAUUUCAAAAGCAGAUUUGACCAGAAACACAUCGAAACAGCUCCAAGCUAGGGGACUAUAGAACACAUCUGUGUCAUUCAUUAUUAUUAUUAUUAUUAUUAUUAUUAUUAUUAUUAUUAUUAUUAUUAUUUACUACUAAUACAACUAUAAGUGCUACUACAAGUACUAUUAUUAUUUUUAUUAUUUUCAUUUUCGUUGUUAUUUUUUCUUAUGAAGGAUGGAAGUUUGAGAAUGAGAUAAAACCAAUCCAAGACCAGUGCUUUUUGAUGGGUGUUGUUGGUGGUGGUGGUGGUCGUGGUGUUGGGGCAGUGGUUGUUAUGAUGGUGAGAGAAAUGAUAAUAUUGAUUAUAAUGAUGAUAAUAAUAAUAAUAAUGGGAGGAUGGACAUGAAGAAUCUGUUCUUCUUGCUUUUCUUCUAAACACAGCCAUGCCACACGCCCUUCCCUACUCCACCCAUCCCUCUUCCUACAUUUUUAAAAAAAAUAUAAAACACAAAAAUAAGACAACAACAAAAGUUUGAAUGACUAAAAAAAAAAACUAAGAAAAGGAAAAAAAACAUACAUUGUAAAAGAAGACUUGUGGAGUUUGGUUAAUGGAACAAUAACAACAAUUACAAUUGUACACACACAAAGACAAAAAUACCUUUAAAAAAUCGGAAAAAGUGAAAACAGUAAAGAAAAUAAAUGUCACCAUUUGGAAAAGACUAUGUAUACAAAGACACUUUGUGCCUGCUUUUCAGUUACUGAAGACGAUUUAUGCAUACAUUUGCUGGACAUGAUAUAUAUAUAAUGAAACAAAUAUCAAAAGAAAAUCUCUUCCCUCAUCUUACCUUUCCCUGACUCCUGGUGACAUAGCUCACAUACACAUAAAUACUGAUGACGAAUGAAAAAAAACAAAAACAAAAAAUAAACAUUAAGUAACAGAGAUGGGUGUGAGUGUUCAGUGUGAGAAAAUUCAUGUAAAUGUCACAUUCUAAUGAAAUUUAAGAUUUCUUUUUCAUCUUGA
Molecule: unclassified non-coding RNA, 2063 nt
Filed under: Octopus sinensis (East Asian common octopus)
Lineage: Eukaryota; Metazoa; Mollusca; Cephalopoda; Octopoda; Octopodidae
Description: histone deacetylase complex subunit SAP30L, transcript variant X3
Source: RNAcentral